AAAACGGUCUUUAUCAAGACCACCUCUUUCAAACAAAGCUUGUGAG
This 46-nucleotide non-coding RNA is filed under the name Helianthus annuus (common sunflower). RNAcentral's name for it is "Histone 3' UTR stem-loop". It matches the Rfam family "Histone 3' UTR stem-loop". Rfam says of the family: The mRNAs of metazoan histone genes lack a poly-A tail. 3' end processing occurs at a site between a highly conserved stem-loop (modelled by this family) and a purine rich region around 20 nts downstream (the histone downstream element, or HDE). Lineage: Eukaryota; Viridiplantae; Streptophyta; Magnoliopsida; Asterales; Asteraceae. The record is from RNAcentral.